UAGUGGCGAACGGGUGAGUAACACGUGGGCAAUCUGCCCUUCACUCUGGGACAAGCCCUGGAAACGGGGUCUAAUACCGGAUACGACCCGCCUCCGCAUGGGGGUGGGUGGAAAGCUCCGGCGGUGAAGGAUGAGCCCGCGGCCUAUCAGCUUGUUGGUGGGGUAACGGCCCACCAAGGCGACGACGGGUAGCCGGCCUGAGAGGGCGACCGGCCACACUGGGACUGAGACACGGCCCAGACUCCUACGGGAGGCAGCAGUGGGGAAUAUUGCACAAUGGGCGAAAGCCUGAUGCAGCGACGCCGCGUGAGGGAUGACGGCCUUCGGGUUGUAAACCUCUUUCAGCAGGGAAGAAGCGAAAGUGACGGUACCUGCAGAAGAAGCGCCGGCUAACUACGUGCCAGCAGCCGCGGUAAUACGUAGGGCGCAAGCGUUGUCCGGAAUUAUUGGGCGUAAAGAGCUCGUAGGCGGCUUGUCACGUCGGGUGUGAAAGCCCGGGGCUUAACCCCGGGUCUGCAUCCGAUACGGGCAGGCUAGAGUGUGGUAGGGGAGAUCGGAAUUCCU
This 564-nucleotide ribosomal RNA is filed under the name Streptomyces termitum. Its description in RNAcentral is "bacterial SSU rRNA". It matches the Rfam family "Bacterial small subunit ribosomal RNA", at positions 93 to 671 of the family's 1533-position model. Lineage: Bacteria; Bacillati; Actinomycetota; Actinomycetes; Kitasatosporales; Streptomycetaceae. The record is from RNAcentral.